GAUGAACGCUGGCGGCGUGCCUAAUACAUGCAAGUCGAGCGAACGGACGAGAAGCUUGCUUCUCUGAUGUUAGCGGCGGACGGGUGAGUAACACGUGGAUAACCUACCUAUAAGACUGGGAUAACUUCGGGAAACCGGAGCUAAUACCGGAUAAUAUUUUGAACCGCAUGGUUCAAAAGUGAAAGACGGCCUUGCUGUCACUUAUAGAUGGAUCCGCGCUGCAUUAGCUAGUUGGUAAGGUAACGGCUUACCAAGGCAACGAUGCAUAGCCGACCUGAGAGGGUGAUCGGCCACACUGGAACUGAGACACGGUCCAGACUCCUACGGGAGGCAGCAGUAGGGAAUCUUCCGCAAUGGGCGAAGGCCUGACGGAGCAACGCCGCGUGAGUGAUGAAGGUCUUCGGAUCGUAAAACUCUGUUAUUAGGGAAGAACAUAUGUGUAAGCAACUGUGCACAUCUUGACGGUACCUAAUCAGAAAGCCACGGCUAACUACGUG
This 497-nucleotide ribosomal RNA is filed under the name uncultured bacterium. RNAcentral describes it as "partial 16S ribosomal RNA". It matches the Rfam family "Bacterial small subunit ribosomal RNA", at positions 28 to 507 of the family's 1533-position model. The record is from RNAcentral.